This 216-nucleotide ribosomal RNA is filed under the name uncultured prokaryote. RNAcentral describes it as "partial 16S ribosomal RNA". It matches the Rfam family "Bacterial small subunit ribosomal RNA", at positions 524 to 739 of the family's 1533-position model. The record is from RNAcentral.
GGCAGAGGGUGCAAACGUUGUUCGGAAUUACUGGGCAUAAAGCGCACGUAGGUGGUCCACUAAGUCGAGUGUGAAAUCCCCCGGCUCAACCGGGGAAUUGCGCUCGAUACUGGCGGGCUAGAGGUCGAUAGGGGUGAGCGGAACUCCAGGUGGAGCGGUGAAAUGCGUAGAUAUCUGGAGGAACACCGGUGGCGAAAGCGGCUCACUGGAUCGAAA